RNAcentral lists this ribosomal RNA (784 nucleotides) under uncultured bacterium. Its description in RNAcentral is "bacterial SSU rRNA". It matches the Rfam family "Bacterial small subunit ribosomal RNA", at positions 8 to 796 of the family's 1533-position model. The record is from RNAcentral.
AGAGUUUGAUCCUGGCUCAGGAUGAACGCUGGCGGCGCGCCUAAUACAUGCAAGUCGAGCGACGAAACCGAAGUGGGUAACCACUUCGGCUGAAAGCGGCGAACGGGUGAGUAACACGUGGGUAACGUGCCCCGAACUCAGGAAUAACAACGGGAAACCGUUGCUAAUGCCGGAUGACCCCUGCAGAUCGCAUGUUCAGCAGGGCAAAGAAUUUCGGUUCGGGAUCGGCCCGCGGCCUAUCAGCUUGUUGGUGGGGUAACGGCCUACCAAGGCAGUGACAGGUAGCUGGCGUGAGAGCGUGGCCAGCCACACUGGGACUGAGACACGGCCCAGACUCCUACGGGAGGCAGCAGUAGGGAAUCUUGCGCAAUGGGCGAAAGCCUGACGCAGCGACGCCGCGUGAGGGAUGACGGCUUUCGGGUUGUAAACCUCUUUCAGCAGGGACGAAGCCUCACGGUGACGGUACCUGCAGAAGAAGCCCCGGCUAACUACGUGCCAGCAGCCGCGGUAAUACGUAGGGGGCAAGCGUUAUCCGGAUUUAUUGGGCGUAAAGCGCGCGUAGGCGGCCGACCACGUCGGAUGUGAAAGCUCAGGGCUCAACCCUGAGAGGCCAUUCGAUACGGGUCGGCUAGAGGCAGGUAGGGGAGAAUGGAAUUCCUGGUGUAGCGGUGAAAUGCGCAGAUAUCAGGAGGAACACCGGUGGCGAAGGCGGUUCUCUGGGCCUGUUCUGACGCUGAGGUGCGAAAGCUGGGGGAGCAAACAGGAUUAGAUACCCCGGUAGUCC